RNAcentral lists this ribosomal RNA (305 nucleotides) under uncultured bacterium. Its description in RNAcentral is "bacterial SSU rRNA". It matches the Rfam family "Bacterial small subunit ribosomal RNA", at positions 335 to 657 of the family's 1533-position model. The record is from RNAcentral.
GCUCCUACGGGAGGCAGCAGUAAGGGAUAUUGGUCAAUGGGGGAAACCCUGAACCAGCAACGCCGCGUGAGGGAAGACGGUUUUCGGAUUGUAAACCUCUGUCCUCUGUGAAGAUGAUGACGGUAGCAGAGGAGGAAGCUCCGGCUAACUACGUGCCAGCAGCCGCGGUAAUACGUAGGUGGCAAGCGUUGUCCGGAUUUACUGGGUGUAAAGGGCGUGUAGCCGGGUUGACAAGUCAGAUGUGAAAUCCUGCGGCUUAACCGCAGAACUGCAUUUGAAACUGUUGAUCUUGAGUACUGGAGAGG